This is a long non-coding RNA of Papaver somniferum (opium poppy), 4703 nucleotides long. RefSeq lists it as uncharacterized. The transcript is spliced from 6 exons. The record is from RefSeq and is a predicted model, not a curated record. NCBI's taxonomy places the organism in Eukaryota, Viridiplantae, Streptophyta, Magnoliopsida, Ranunculales, Papaveraceae.
AUUUCAUCGACAAUGGGAAGCUCAGAAAUCAGGUAUAUUUUUGGAAGGAUGCCUAAUUGGUUCAACAUGGACCUCUUUGAUUCAACCCUUUCCGCUAUGUCCCAUAAAUCCCUAUUCAUCCGUCACUCAAAUCAGCUGAACUCACCAUCUACUUUCAGAUAAUUGAAAUAGCCUUUCAUUUGGUUCUGUUAGUGAUACUUUUUUUCUGUAGAAUGAAGGCGUUCACUGAAAAUGCCCCGGUUUCACUUCCAAUCACCGAGGAAAAUCAGAAAUCACAGAGGCAAGUUGGUAGUGACCAUGUUGUAUGACUCUUUUAUCUCAAUUAAAGGACGCUCUGAAAGAAGUUGCGGAAUUGCAGCAAAUGCAAUCUCUCCAUUGAAGAAAAUAAUUUGGCUUCAUGUUUCCAAAACUCCCCGUCACUCAUCUUUUCAAGCUGUAAUCCUAACUGCCAUAUAGGUGCAUGGAGAUGCUUGGAAAAAGGGUUUGAAAGUAAUGGAUGUAGCAGCACCAUGACAGCUUAAUAAUGCCUUAAUCUUGCUCGGUCUCCUUCUUCGGGGUUUUGAAGCUUGGAUUACUUCGAGAAAUUGGAGCAUAUCGGUGAAGGCACAAAUGGGUUUCUGGAGAACCGAAAUUGCUACGGAGGAAUUAAGACAGAGUUGGGGAAACACAAGGUCCACCUUCUCAAGUACCUCCUGAAUAUACUUUAUGUACUCUUUGUGAAGAACAACACUAUAUUUCAGGUUAAUAUAUAUAUGUUUUGCAUAAAUAAAUUUACAUGUUUUAAACAUUGGUUUGAUUAAGCGGUAUAAGUAUAUAUGUAUUUGUUGUUACAAUCAAGAUUAUGGACCUUCGUAUUGCUCUUUCCUUAGCCUAUACUCUGAAAGCUUACGAGCAACUGCCGACAACUUUCUGAAUUUCUCCUCAGCUCUUCGAAAGUACCCAGCUUGGCCCUGUCUACUUUUUUUUUGGCAACAUUCUUCCUAAACUUUCUUUACGUGGUAUCAAGCUUUCUACAUACUCAUAAUUUGAUCCUUCAGUUUCCCUCAUUUGCAUUUUUAACUCUUAACCAUUUAAAUUUUAGUGCAUCUUGAGGUCUUGGUGAAGUUGUUUGGGUGCUAUGACUUAAUGAGGUAAUAUUAAUAUUUUGUAAGGCUUUAGAAUUUUUUUUUUUUUUCCUUUUAUCAUACUACCAUAUUUACUCUAUGGUGUAUCAUUGGUUUGAAUUGGAAGCACAGUUUAUACAUAGUAUGUAUCUAUCUCAUGGUUUAGACAUAUUUGUGCUUUACAUUUCAAUAUUAUACUUAUGUCAUUAGUGUGGUGUUUGUCCAUUUCUACUACUGAAAGGACUAGACUCCAGAAUCCAUGUUCGUCCAUUUCUUUGGUUUGCUUAAAACAGGUUGUUAAGCUUGCACAACCAUGAUUAUUUAGUGUUUUACUACAUGAACGGACAUCUAUAGUCCAAACAUAUAAAGGAAGGUCAAGAUGAAGCCAUUAACACUCUCUUCUAUAGUUUUUCACUUUGGAUGGAGAUAUAUAAUUUAGACAUAUAAAGAACGGUGUAGAUUGAUCCCAGCAUCUUUCACACUCCUCUCACACUCGCCUUAAUCUCUUUCGAAUUCCACGGAUUACUUCGCAUUAAACCUCAGAACCGUUUCUCCUAGCAGAAAAAAGUCUUACCUCAUAACUUUAGCUACCAUCAAUGGGAGGCGUUACUCUUCUCUGAAAAUAUUUCGAAAGGUAAGUUAUCAUGUUUCUCUUGAUCAGGGACUAUGGUUUCGACAGAGAAACUAAAACAAUAUAGGGGUUUCUAUAUUGUGUUUUGUGAUUUGUAACCUAAUUUAGAUUUUUGUCUUGCUUCCAUAAGCUCCGAUAGAGUGAUUCUUAUUAUCUACUUUGGCAUCUUUUUCUCUUUAUUUUUCUUUAACAUAAUUAGAUUCUUGGUAAGUCUUUUUUUUUCCCUAAUUCAGCUUCCUUGAUGUUAUUUUUUUUUCGUAGUUUUUGUACUCAGUAGGUUUUUGGUUGGCUUAAUUUUUUUAUUGUUUUUAAAUAAUGUACUGAAGGUUUCUGGAGAACCGAAAUUGCUACGGAGGAAUUAAGACAGAGUUGGGGAAACACAAGGUCCACCUUCUCAAGUACCUCCUGAAUAUACUUUAUGUACUCUUUGUGAAGAACAACACUAUAUUUCAGGUUAAUAUAUAUAUGUUUUGCAUAAAUAAAUUUACAUGUUUUAAACAUUGGUUUGAUUAAGCGGUAUAAGUAUAUAUGUAUUUGUUGUUACAAUCAAGAUUAUGGACCUUCAUAUUGCUCUUUCCUUAGCCUAUACUCUGAAAGCUUACGAGCAACUGCCGACAACUUUCUGAAUUUCUCCUCAGCUCUUCGAAAGUACCCACCUUGGCCCUGUCUACUUUUUUUUUUUGCAACAUUCUUCCUAAACUUCCUUUACGUGGUAUCAAGCUUUCUACAUACUCAUAAUUUGAUCCUUCAGUUUCCCUCAUUUGCAUUUUUAACUCCUAACCAUUUAAAUUUUAGUGCAUCUUGAGGUCUUGGUGAAGUUGUUUGGGUGCUAUGACUUAAUGAGGUAAUAUUUUGUAAGGCUUUAGAUUUUUUUUUUUCCUUUUAUCAUACUACCAUAUUUACUCUAUGGUGUAUCAUUGGUUUGAAUUGGAAGCACAGUUUAUACAUAGUAUGUAUCUAUCUCAUGGUUUAGACAUAUUUGUGCUUUACAUUUCAAUAUUCUACUUAUGUCACUAGUGUGGUGUUUGUCCAUUUCUACUACUGAAAGGACUAGACUCCAGAAUCCAUGUUCGUCCAUUUCUUUGGUUUGCUUAAAACAGGUUGUUCAGCUUGCACAACCAUGAUUAUUUAGUGUUGUUAAAUGACUAAAUCAUAGGUAACUUGAACUCUCAAUAAAGAACUCUGGAUAGUUAAAGAGUCAUCGAUACAUGGACACAUGGCUUUUCUAAUAUCAAAUUUUCCUCCCCAAAUUUAUGCUACCAAGCAUCAUGCCCUGACCAUGAUCCUUAAUAAGGUUGGAUAGGCUAUCCAAAUACUUUAUAUAGUCUGUUUUUUUUUGUUCAUUGUUGGUGGAAUUUUAUUUUGUUUUCUACUCUCAUAAUGGUUGUUGUCAUUGAAGUUUGUUAGCAGAACUUUGUUUCAUCAUCAAGAAACAUGAAUUUAUAUAGAGAGUGGGACUUUAAGAAUUAGUAACCUUAGGAAAAGAGAAUGGAAAAGGAUAACCAAAUGGUUACAUGACCUGGGUUCUUUAAAGGUCGUUAGGUUCUUAUCUUUUCAAUUGUAGCUAACCAGUUAGUGAACGACUUUAAGAGAAAAAAUGCAUCUAAAGCUAUUAAUUGUAGCUAACCAGUUAGUGUAUAUCAUUUUAAUCUUUAUCAACAGCUCAACCACUUCAUUGGCUCCACUGACCUGCAUUUUGGAUCUCAAAUGACUUAAGUGGUUCGCUACAAGUUUUAACCCCCAAGCUUACAAUCAGAAUUUGUAUUUGAUCAUUUUAUCCUUUCCUAUUACGAGCACGGUCAUGUUUUUUUACUAUGAGGUUUGGGUUAUGAUGAAUUAGUGAAAUUGGAUCUAUAGUAGUAUACCAUUGAAAUCAAAAAUUGGUGUAUUCCUCAACAAUGACGUCAGAGCAGUGAAAGCAUCCAAGGGAGGCAGGUUAUACUUUCUUUCUUGCUUGAAAGGAAGUAAACUGACCCUACAAUGAGCUGGAUCACCAUAUCCGGACCAUGCCUUGAUAAGUCGGGUAUUUUUCUUGCCUUUCAAAUUUCACUUUAGACGUACAGCAAUAUCAAAUAUUUAGAUAUCACUACUAACAUUUUUGAACAUGGGUGUCUGGAGGGUUAACAAGAAGUCAAUAGACAAUUGCAAUGUUACAGGUAAUGAAAACCACCGGUUCCAAGUGUACGUAUGCCUUUCAGAGUUUCAAUGGCAAGGGGAAAAGUACCGGACAAGCUUAUACAAAGAAAAUCUGGUUUCUGAGUAUUCACAAAAAUUUUGUAGUCUAUACUCUUGAAGUAGUUGAUUAAAAUACCAAAGAGAAGCGACAUAAAUUUGCAUUAGGUGAAGUAGAUACAAUAAAUUAAAUUUACAAAAAUCAGUUCUUUUGUGUAACUCUCUUUACAUAUUAGGAGGGGAUCAUACCAUUGAACAACUUCGAAUGAACAUCGCCAUUUAUGUUUACCACGACUGUUACAUAUUAUCGGUGAACAAGCUUUUAGCAUGUCAUGUUAUGUAACAGUCCAAAAUCCGUGCUGUUACGGGAGAAUUUUGUCCAAAAUCAUAGCCCAAUGAGACCAGAAAUUCUAUGGGAGAAUUUUGGACUGGAUAUGUGCAAUGAUCUCGCACACAGGCUUACAACGCGGUAUGGAAUAAAAAUUCCAAAGGAAGAACAAAUUCUGGAUUAUGGGUUGUAUCUUCUGGAGAAAGUACUACAACAGGAUGGAAAAGAGCUAAAAAAAAGGGACUUCAAUUCAAUGCGACGACCGACGGGUAACUGGAAAAGAGCUAAAAAGGGACUUCAAUUCAAUGCGACGACCGACGGGUAACUGGAGCGAAUAAGCGAAAAACAAAUGUCCGCCUAGGCGGUAGUCGGAUUUAACAAGGGCGGAGGCUAAAAGGAACGGUUUAAUGGUCAAGCUUCCAUAUGAUAAAUUCAUUGAGAAAAGCUAAAAUAUUUUGUUUAAUAGUUA